UAAGCCUUGGAAAGUCGCCGGCGCAUU
Molecule: small RNA, 27 nt
Filed under: Bombyx mori (domestic silkworm)
Lineage: Eukaryota; Metazoa; Arthropoda; Insecta; Lepidoptera; Bombycidae
Description: ovarian small RNA-19260
Source: RNAcentral